RNAcentral lists this transfer RNA (51 nucleotides) under Anoplodactylus australis. RNAcentral's name for it is "tRNA-Ala". Lineage: Eukaryota; Metazoa; Arthropoda; Pycnogonida; Pantopoda; Phoxichilidiidae. The record is from RNAcentral.
AGAUAAUGAACUCUAAUUUGCAAUUAGAAAAAGUUUCUAAAACCUUAUCUA